GGACCCGCACAAGCGGUGGAGCAUGUGGUUUAAUUCGAUGCAACGCGAAAAAACCUUACCUACUCUUGACAUACUUGGGAGCUCUUGUAAUGAGAGUGUGCCUUAUGGAACCAAGAUACAGGUGCUGCAUGGCUGUCGUCAGCUCGUGUCGUGAGAUGUUCCGUUAAGUCGGAUAACGAGCGCAACCCUUACCCUUAUUUGCCAGCGAUUCGGUCGGGAACUAUAAGGGGACUGCCGGUGAUAAACCGGAGGAAGGUGAGGACGACGUCAAGUCAUCAUGGCCCUUACGAGUAGGGCUACACACGUGCUCAAUGGGGAAAUACAGACGGACGCUAAAGCCGCGAGGUGGUG
RNAcentral lists this ribosomal RNA (351 nucleotides) under uncultured bacterium. RNAcentral's name for it is "bacterial SSU rRNA". It matches the Rfam family "Bacterial small subunit ribosomal RNA", at positions 917 to 1267 of the family's 1533-position model. The record is from RNAcentral.